AGUCACUGACAUUAGAUACCCGGGUAGUCCAGGGUGUAAACGCUGCAGACUUGGUGUUGGAAAUCCUUCGAGGGUAUUCAGUGCCGGAGAGAAGUUGUUAAGUCUGCUACUUGGGGAGUACGUCCGCAAGGAUGAAACUUAAAGGAAUUGGCGGGGAGCACCACAACGGGUGGAGCCUGCGGUUUAAUUGGACUCAACGCCGGAAAUCUCACCGGAUAGGACAGACAUAUGAUAGUCGGGCUGAAGACUCUACUCGAUGAUCUG
Molecule: ribosomal RNA, 264 nt
Filed under: uncultured archaeon
Lineage: Archaea
Description: partial 16S ribosomal RNA
Rfam family: Archaeal small subunit ribosomal RNA
Source: RNAcentral